Molecule: long non-coding RNA, 1666 nt
Organism: Parus major (Great Tit)
Lineage: Eukaryota; Metazoa; Chordata; Aves; Passeriformes; Paridae
Source: Ensembl
AUGCGUAAUAAACGCCUGGAUGUUUCACACAUUCCAGCUCUCGGGCCGCGCCCGCCUCCUCAUCCUCCUCCGGACCUCUGGGGCUGUUCCGAGGCGGGCUCUGCGAGUGGCCCUCCGGCCAUAAAAAGGGUCCCCAGAGCUCAUCUCGGGGAGUCUCAGCUCGGUGCUGCGGCUGCUCGUCCUCCUGCCAUGGCCUGCACUGCCAGCGCCCCGGCCGCGCCUGCCCACUCUCACUUCUGGGAGAUGCUGUCGCUGCUGGCCCGGGAGCCGGGUAUGGAGUGGCUGGAGCUGAGCCUUGCUGGGCAGGCUGUCACCUCCCCUCCUCGCAGCCGGGAAGCACCGAGGAGCGGAAGAGAGAUGACUUAUCAUCAGCAGCAUUCCUUGGGACCUUGGCCUCUGAAGACUUUGUCGUUGCUGGAGCGCUCAGGAGACAGUAGGCUUUGGCAAGCCUACCUCGAAGGAUUGAGGAAAUUCCUUGUCUUUAGGGAAAUCAUGGGAAUGCCUGCAGCCUGGCCAAUUCCAGUGGAGCAAAUUAGAGGAUUUUUGGCUGUGGAAUCUAAUUUUUCUGCCUCGAAGACACUCAUAUACAUGGCAGCACUUUCUUAUUUAUCAAAAUUGACUUGUAGCUCUGAUCCUCUGCAAGAUCCUAUAACCUGUUGCAUGGUGACGGGGUUGAAACGUCGAGUGGGUAUCCCGAGGGAUAUAUACUUGCCUGUAACAAUUGAGAUAUUGCGAUCUCUCUUAGGAGCUCUGGAGUCUGUGUGCAUAACUCAUUAUGAAUGCUUACUGUUUCGUGCAUUAUUUACUGUAGCUUUUUUUGGGGCACUUCGAAUAGGAGAGAUGGUGGCAAAGCACCGUAAUGUACUGCAGCCGGAGCUGCUGUAUCUGAGUGAUAUCCAGCUGAUGGCGAGGAAAGUGCUGCUUUUUCUGCCUUACUCUCCUGUGGAUCAGGAGAGGCAUGUCAUCAGCCUGGCGCUGUCCGGAGAGCCGUGGGUGUGCCCCGUCCUGGCCCUCCGGAGCUAUUUGACAGCUCGCUCACAGCAGGAAGGGCCAUUGUUCGUGCACUCGGACUUGAGGUCUGUAACGAAGAGGGAGUUCCUGGCCGUUCUCCGAUGUGCCCUGAGCCUGCUGGGGCUGUGUCCGGAGCAGUUCGGCGUGCAUUCCUUCUGGAUGGGGACUGCCGUCACCGCUGCGCGCUGCGGGUAUCCUGGGGAAGAUGUCACUCGCCUGGCAAGAUGGCCCUGUAUGAUCCCAGGAAGAUUCUAACCACGGGCACCAGCAGGAAAAUAGAAGCUAGCGAAUCAUCUUCUUUAUGUAGAGUCAACUUUAGCUGUAUAGUUUAGAAGCUAAUCAAUCAUUCUCUUUAUGUAGAGUCAACUUCAGCUGUAUAGUUUAGAAGCUAAUCAAUCAUCCUCUUUAUGUAGAGUCAACUUUAGCCUUUGACAAGAAUUUAGUAUUAACACUUGAAAUUAAUUUUCUACCUCACAGUGGGGUGAUCCUAAGUUCACUCAGAACUUGUUUGUUCUGUCUGUAUUUGAAGGGAGGGGGAAUGUUUAACCUUUGUGCACAGACACAUUUUAUCUUUUAAUAUUAGUAUUUUUAUCUUGUAUAUUUAUAUUUUUAUCUUUAUUAUCUUGAGGUAAUAAAUACUGCCUUUUAAAAAACA